UAACACAUGCAAGUCGAACGGUAGCACAGAGGAGCUUGCUCCUUGGGUGACGAGUGGCGGACGGGUGAGUAAUGUCUGGGGAUCUGCCCGAUGGAGGGGGAUAACUACUGGAAACGGUAGCUAAUACCGCAUAACGUCGCAAGACCAAAGUGGGGGACCUUCGGGCCUCACACCAUCGGAUGAACCCAGAUGGGAUUAGCUAGUAGGUGGGGUAACGGCUCACCUAGGCGACGAUCCCUAGCUGGUCUGAGAGGAUGACCAGCCACACUGGAACUGAGACACGGUCCAGACUCCUACGGGAGGCAGCAGUGGGGAAUAUUGCACAAUGGGCGCAAGCCUGAUGCAGCCAUGCCGCGUGUAUGAAGAAGGCCUUCGGGUUGUAAAGUACUUUCAGCGGGGAGGAAGGCGAUAAGGUUAAUAACCUUGUCGAUUGACGUUACCCGCAGAAGAAGCACCGGCUAACUCCGUGCCAGCAGCCGCGGUAAUACGGAGGGUGCAAGCGUUAAUCGGAAUUACUGGGCGUAAAGCGCACGCAGGCGGUCUGUCAAGUCGGAUGUGAAAUCCCCGGGCUUAACCUGGGAACUGCAUUCGAAACUGGCAGGCUAGAGUCUUGUAGAGGGGGGUAGAAUUCCAGGUGUAGCGGUGAAAUGCGUAGAGAUCUGGAGGAAUACCGGUGGCGAAGGCGGCCCCCUGGACAGAGACUGACGCUCAGGUGCGAAAGCGUGGGGAGCAAACAGGAUUAGAUACCCUGGUAGUCCACGCUGUAAACGAUGUCGACUUGGAGGUUGUGCCCUUGAGGCGUGGCUUCCGGAGCUAACGCGUUAAGUCGACCGCCUGGGGAGUACGGCCGCAAGGUUAAAACUCAAAUGAAUUGACGGGGGCCCGCACAAGCGGUGGAGCAUGUGGUUUAAUUCGAUGCAACGCGAAGAACCUUACCUGGCCUUGACAUCCAGAGAACUUAGCAGAGAUGCUUUGGUGCCUUCGGGAACUCUGAGACAGGUGCUGCAUGGCUGUCGUCAGCUCGUGUUGUGAAAUGUUGGGUUAAGUCCCGCAACGAGCGCAACCCUUAUCCUUUGUUGCCAGCGAUUCGGUCGGGAACUCAAAGGAGACUGCCGGUGAUAAACCGGAGGAAGGUGGGGAUGACGUCAAGUCAUCAUGGCCCUUACGGCCAGGGCUACACACGUGCUACAAUGGCGCAUACAAAGAGAAGCGACCUCGCGAGAGCAAGCGGACCUCAUAAAGUGCGUCGUAGUCCGGAUUGGAGUCUGCAACUCGACUCCAUGAAGUCGGAAUCGCUAGUAAUCGUAGAUCAGAAUGCUACGGUGAAUACGUUCCCGGGCCUUGUACACACCGCCCGUCACACCAUGGGAGUGGGUUGCAAAAGAAGUAGGUAGCUUAACCUUCGGGAGGGCGCUUACCACUUUGUGAUUCAUGACUGGGGUGAAGUCGUAACAAGAA
RNAcentral lists this ribosomal RNA (1458 nucleotides) under bacterium. RNAcentral describes it as "bacterial SSU rRNA". It matches the Rfam family "Bacterial small subunit ribosomal RNA". The record is from RNAcentral.